Molecule: long non-coding RNA, 1402 nt
Organism: Acipenser ruthenus (sterlet)
Lineage: Eukaryota; Metazoa; Chordata; Actinopteri; Acipenseriformes; Acipenseridae
Exons: 3
Source: RefSeq, a predicted model, not a curated record
CACACCAAGUCAAGUGAAUGAGAGCAUCCAUGGGGAUAUAAAAAGGAAGGACAGGAAGAAGGAAGGGAGGCGGUGUAGGGAAGCAGUCGGGUUGUGGCUGUGGAAGAGAAGGCAGGCUUCAUAGAUUUAUUGACAGAUGGAUGGAAAGAAAAAGGAAAGAGUCUUCAAUUGCAUAGGAGAAAGAAUUCUGAUCAGAGGGUAAAGAACUGAAUUGGAUUUCUAUUUGGCUGUUUGGGAUUCGUUUUGAUACGGGACUGUGUUGUGAUUUUUGUUUACUUUUUUGGAGUUUUCUUGUUUGUUUUGUGCUGCCCCAACUUAUGGUUUAGUUCUUUCUUACACUGUUUAUAUUGGGUUGUUUUUAGAGAAAUAACAUACACUGCGAGACUCUUGGGAUUUUAGAAGGUGCUGUAUUUUAUGCUCUCGUGGGAUUGUGUAAAUGUUAUAUUUCCCUUCUUGCUGUCACUGAGCGUGUUGGAGACUUUGCUCGUUACGAUUACUUGUUGUGGGUCCGGCUCCAUCGAAGAGGUGCCUCGGGUUUGAGUGGACCGUGUCGGAAGGCCUGCUACCUGUGAAAGAAAAGAAAGAAGGAUUGCCGAAGAGAAUAGCUGCAGUUUUGUAGAGUGGAUCACCUGGGUGAGAAUACAAGUUCGCUGCCGGUUCCAGAGGACAAGUACUGCCUGGAAAAGAAGGGAAGUGACAUUUAUUAUUAUUCAUCUACUUCUGAGAAAUUGAUAACUUUAAACUUUACAUUGAUAACUCAUACUUACCCACACUGAGUUGGCUCCGCGUGUGUGUUCUGUCAGGGCAUGCUAGAGGCCCGCUAGGGUGACCCUUAUCUGUCCAACGUCGAGGGUCAAGGUCCAGUGGUCCACCAGUCCAGGGUGCAACAGCACAGAAGAGAGAGAGAGAGAGGGAGAUCCACGAGGAUCAAAGAUAGGCUAAGGGGAAGUAACCAGCUGGACCAUACUGGUGAAUGCGAUAGUUCCAUUUACCGUUGUAAACGUCCUUGACGGCCUCCCUUCUUUGCUCUCUCCCUUUCUCAGGUUUUCUAGGAUCUCCGUCUGCAUUUCUAUCAGCGGUUCAGUACAUUGUUUGCAGUGGGGUCCACUGGCGUUUUGGGCUUAGAGGACAGCGGACGUUGGUACGAGUGGACAAUUGGGUUCCUGAGGAACCACUAGAGACUGAGGCGUCAGCUGUGAUGAUGGGUUUCAAAUGACACUAAGGAAGUAAGGGGAGCAGCUGCGAUGGAGACUGAAGCCGGAUCUUGAAAUGGACUGCUGUCUUCACUCAGAAAGUUAGUGUUGUACCAGUUAUGUGGAGUUUCAUCCCCAAAUAUAUUAAAGAAAAUAGGUCAAAUGCCACUCAUUUUUGGCUGUGGUUUUGUAACUAAUAACAAAUAAAA